RNAcentral lists this ribosomal RNA (406 nucleotides) under uncultured bacterium. Its description in RNAcentral is "partial 16S ribosomal RNA". It matches the Rfam family "Bacterial small subunit ribosomal RNA", at positions 30 to 526 of the family's 1533-position model. The record is from RNAcentral.
AUUGAACGCUGGCGGCAGGCCUAUCACAUGCAAGUCGAACGAGUGGCGGACGGGUGAGUAAUGUCUGGGAAACUGCCCGAUGGAGGGGGAUAACUACUGGAAACGGUAGCUAAUACCGCAUACCAUCGGAUGUUCCCAGAUUGGAUUAGCUAGUAGGUGGGGUAACGGCUCACCGAGGCGACGAUCCCUAGCUGGUCUGAGAGGAUGACCAGCGACACUGGGACUGAGACACGGUCCAGACUCCUACGGGAGGCAGCAGUGGGGAAUAUUGCACAAUGGGCGCAAGCCUGAUGCAGCCAUGCCGCGGGUAUGAAGAAGGCCUUCGGGGUGUAAAGUACUUUCAGCGAGGAGGCGUUACUCGCAGAAGAAGCACCGGCUAACUCCGUGCCAGCAGCCGCGGUAAUUC